UGGCACGACUUCGAUCUCCUAUCUCUCUCUCUCUCGUUACAAACUUAAGGAGAAAUGUGAAACCCUAACCUCCCUCCGUGACAUCUUCCCGCCGUCUCUCUCUUGCCGUCGCCGCUGGCCGAACUUCGAUCAGGAAUUGCAAAGACAUUGGUCAGAGCUGCCAUUCAAGAGGUUGCAAAGAAGAAAGAGAUGAGAUACGCUUUCCUGCACUAAUGCACCAGUUGACAUCCUCUCCCUAAAUGCAGAUGAGGCUGAAGAUGAUCUUCUUCACCCAGUUUUGUAGAGCAACAAAACCCUUUGAGGCUGAGGACUAUAUCAUAGUCUUCUAUUUGUUUGUUCUUUUUAUUUUUUAUUUUUUAUUUUUUUUUGGAAAGAAGGUUUGAAUAUAGAAAGGUACAGUCCUACUGAUAAUCGAGUUUGAUGGAUGCUAACUGAUGAGGCUAUAUCAGUACGAUAGAAUAUAGGUUUUUUUUUU
Long non-coding RNA from Carya illinoinensis, 475 nucleotides. RefSeq lists it as uncharacterized. The transcript is spliced from 2 exons. NCBI's taxonomy places the organism in Eukaryota, Viridiplantae, Streptophyta, Magnoliopsida, Fagales, Juglandaceae. The record is from RefSeq and is a predicted model, not a curated record.